RNAcentral lists this long non-coding RNA (1006 nucleotides) under Equus asinus (donkey). RNAcentral describes it as "lncRNA (ENSEASG00005027249.1)". Lineage: Eukaryota; Metazoa; Chordata; Mammalia; Perissodactyla; Equidae. The record is from RNAcentral.
AGCCAACCUCUUCCCUCCUUGUCCUCCCCUGACUCCAGAACUUGGGCCCAGACAGCCAAAGCCCAGGGGACAACGAGUGACUCAGACGCUUCCUGUUUUCUUGGCCACAGUGACAGAAGGAUGGAAACAGCCCUGAGCUGGGGUUCAUGGCUGAAGAGAGGGGGCCUGGAGAGAUGAGGAGCCUGGAGCUGUGGGGCCAGCCUGCCCUGAGAUGCGGGAGGAGUGAGCUGGGCAGAGCCACAUGGGGUGGUCUCCUGGCCUCGCUGGGUGGAAAUGAGGGUGGUUUGUUGGGUGGCCAGGUCCACAAAGCAGGGAGGACUUGGGGCCAGCGUUUCUUGAAAGGUAGGGAUUUUCUGAAUCCUCGGGGGUUGAAGGAGAGACCUGAGGUUGUGCCUGGAUAUUUGGUUCUGACAGAGCAGGCAAGCUGGGAGGCCGUGUGAGUCAGAGAGGGGAGAGCUACACUGGGAGGCAAAGGACCUGAGUUAUCUUGUCCCUGCCCUGCCAUGAAUUUCCGUGUGACCCUGAGAGCCUUCAUAGAGAAAUGAAGACCCGAAGAAACAGGCCUGAGGAUUUCAAUGCUGGGUUUGCCGUGUGGGAACACCAGAGGGCAGGAAGACGAGGAACUGGAACCCGAAGGCUUGGCCGGGGUCCUUGGCAGCUGGCUCAGGGCUCCCCACGAGCGGGGAUGAGGGGAGAAAAUGCAAGUCAGGACCCAGGAAAUCACCAGCAGAAGAGCUUGGACCAAAGAUCUCUGAUGGGGAAGCACAGGCCGGCUUGGCAGCCUGGUUCCAGACUUGCCAGCAGCAUCAUCACUUGUUCACAGGCAGCCCGCCUCCAGCCAUCCAAGGUCACCAUUCAGACCACCAUCUGUUCCCCAACUUCUGCCCUGCAGGGUCCUGGGCAGCCAGGCCAGUGUUGAGUGGGCUCUUUCGGUUUGGAAUUGAUAGUUUUACUGCCAGUGCCACUGUCUGGACCAAGAAAAGCAUUCAUGUGUGCGUGUGCGUGC